UGACCAGCGGAGGGAUCACUACAGAGCGUUCUCUACCCUCUGAAAACCAUGUGAACAAGCCGCCGUAGCCUCGGCGGGGGCUGCCGGGCCUCCCCGGCGCGCCCGCCGCAGGCCCUCAACACACCGUCAUCCGCAGGUACUCUGAGCGAGCUCGAGGGAAAUCAAAACUUUCAGCAACGGAUCUCUUGGUUCUGGCAUCGAUGAAGAACGCAGCGAAAUGCGAUACGUAAUGCGAAUUGCAGAGCUCCAGUGAGUCAUCGAAUCUUUGAACGCACAUUGCGCCCGCCGGCACUCCGGCGGGCAUGCCUGUUCGAGCGUCAUCUCGAAACCCCUCAGGCUCUGCCUGGUGUUGGGGGUCCACGCCCGUGGUCCCCGGAAAGCAGUGGCGGGCUCGACGCGAACCCGGGCGCAGUAAAGCACCUCGCCCACGGUUCCGCGCCGGGCGCCGGCCGUUAAACCCACAACGUUAGGUUGACCUCGGAUCAGGCAGGAAUACCCGCUGAACUUAAGCAUAUC
RNAcentral lists this ribosomal RNA (516 nucleotides) under Physalospora sp. D6c2a. RNAcentral's name for it is "eukaryotic LSU rRNA". The stretch from base 166 to 320 matches the Rfam family "5.8S ribosomal RNA". Lineage: Eukaryota; Fungi; Ascomycota; Sordariomycetes; Amphisphaeriales; Hyponectriaceae. The record is from RNAcentral.